This 253-nucleotide ribosomal RNA is filed under the name uncultured bacterium. RNAcentral's name for it is "partial 16S ribosomal RNA". It matches the Rfam family "Bacterial small subunit ribosomal RNA", at positions 524 to 776 of the family's 1533-position model. The record is from RNAcentral.
UACGAAGGGUGCUAGCGUUGUUCGGAAUUACUGGGCGUAAAGAGCGCGUAGGCGGUUAUACAAGUCAGGGGUGAAAUCCCGGAGCUUAACUCCGGAACUGCCUUUGAAACUGUAUAGCUGGAGUGUGUGAGGGGAUAGCGGAAUUCCUAAUGUAGAGGUGAAAUUCGUAGAUAUUAGGAGGAACACCGGUGGCGAAGGCGACGUCCUGGACCGGCAUUGACGCUGAGGCGCGAAAGCCAGGGGAGCAAACGGG